This 291-nucleotide ribosomal RNA is filed under the name alpha proteobacterium enrichment culture clone otu_A9. RNAcentral's name for it is "partial 16S ribosomal RNA". It matches the Rfam family "Bacterial small subunit ribosomal RNA", at positions 1087 to 1382 of the family's 1533-position model. Lineage: Bacteria; Pseudomonadati; Pseudomonadota; Alphaproteobacteria. The record is from RNAcentral.
CCGCACGAGCGCACCCUCAUCCUUAGUUGCCAUCAUUUAGUUGGGCACUUUAAGGAAACUGCCGGUGAUAAGCCGGAGGAAGGUGGGGAUGACGUCAAGUCCUCAUGGCCCUUACAGGCUGGGCUACACACGUGCUACAAUGGUAUCUACAGUGAGCAGCGAUCCCGCAAGGGUUAGCUAAUCUCCAAAAGAUAUCUCAGUUCGGAUUGUUCUCUGCAACUCGAGAGCAUGAAGGCGGAAUCGCUAGUAAUCGCGGAUCAGCAUGCCGCGGUGAAUACGUUCCCAGGCCUU